This 457-nucleotide ribosomal RNA is filed under the name uncultured bacterium. RNAcentral describes it as "partial 16S ribosomal RNA". It matches the Rfam family "Bacterial small subunit ribosomal RNA", at positions 338 to 795 of the family's 1533-position model. The record is from RNAcentral.
CCUACGGGUGGCAGCAGUGGGGAAUAUUGCACAAUGGGGGAAACCCUGAUGCAGCGACGCCGCGUGAGUGAAGAAGUAUUUCGGUACGUAAAGCUCUAGCAGCAGGGAAGAAAAAAAGUCCUUUGGACUUUGGACGGUACCUGACCAAGAAGCCCCGGCUAACUCAGUGCCAGCAGCCGCGGUAAUACGUAGGGGGCAAGCGUUAUUCGGAUUUACGGGGUGGAAAGGGAGCGAAGACGGCAGGGCAAGUCUGGAGUGAAAUGCCGGGGCCCAACCCCGGAACGGAUUGGGAAACGGUGCAGCUGGAGUGCAGGAGAGGUAAGCGGAAUUCCUAGUGUAGCGGUGAAAUGCGUAGAUAUUAGGAGGCACACCAGUGGCGAAGGCGGCUUACUGGACUGUAACUGACGUUGAGGCUCGAAAGCGUGGGGAGCAAACAGGAUUAGAUACCCGGGUAGUC